This 403-nucleotide ribosomal RNA is filed under the name uncultured bacterium. Its description in RNAcentral is "bacterial SSU rRNA". It matches the Rfam family "Bacterial small subunit ribosomal RNA", at positions 355 to 774 of the family's 1533-position model. The record is from RNAcentral.
UCGGGAAUAUUGCGCAAUGGAGGAAACUCUGACGCAGUGACGCCGCGUAUAGGAAGAAGGUUUUCGGAUUGUAAACUAUUGUCGUUAGGGAAGAAAAAAGACAGUACCUAAGGAGGAAGCUCCGGCUAACUACGUGCCAGCAGCCGCGGUAAUACGUAGGGAGCGAGCGUUAUCCGGAUUUAUUGGGUGUAAAGGGUGCGUAGACGGGCUAACAAGUUAGUUGUGAAAUCCCUCGGCUUAACUGAGGAACUGCAACUAAAACUGUAAGUCUUGAGUGCAGGAGAGGUAAGUGGAAUUCCUAGUGUAGCGGUGAAAUGCGUAGAUAUUAGGAGGAACACCAGUGGCGAAGGCGACUUACUGGACUGUAACUGACGUUGAGGCACGAAAGUGUGGGGAGCAAACA